CUCGCAUCCGCUGCCUCUCCACGAACGAAGCGAUGUCGUUUAUAUCGAUAUGGUUUAAUGUUGCGUUAUGUGACCGAUUCCUUCUGUAAAGCCGUGCCUGUGUUUGGAUCUCUCCUCCGCGCAGCCCCGCCCCCAAUCACUCACACACGGCACCCCUGCAGCAGUUUGGACCAAACUGCUGACAUUUGUUUACAGUUUCAAUUGUUAUUAACACAGCUAUAUAUUGUUAAUUAUGAGAGGGAAACCUGUAUUGGUACCAGUGUUUACGCUGGUAACUCUCUGUUAUUGCGGCCGCCACGGCGAAAAACACAUUAGAAGUUAUUAAAUGCAACUAGCUUGAGUUGGUUGAG
Long non-coding RNA from Sander lucioperca (pikeperch), 350 nucleotides. RefSeq lists it as uncharacterized. The transcript is spliced from 3 exons. The record is from RefSeq and is a predicted model, not a curated record. Lineage: Eukaryota; Metazoa; Chordata; Actinopteri; Perciformes; Percidae.